CAAAAUGUGUUUUCGUGUAAUUGUAUGUUUUAUACCCAUUAUGGCUUAAAUAAGUGUGAAACUAUUUACUAAAAGCUUGCAUUCCUCAAUGACAAUUACAUUAGAUACUAGUAAUUAAAUUCUUCCAAAAAAGUUUAAGAACGAUUCCUAAUAAUUUUGGGAAAUACUCCUCCCUCUCAAUUUUAUAGCAUGCAAAGACUAAAACAAUGUCUUAUAUAUGCUUACCAUGUAAAAGCAAGAGAGAGAGGAAAUAGUUUUCAUCGGACC
This 267-nucleotide long non-coding RNA is filed under the name Mytilus galloprovincialis (Mediterranean mussel). Lineage: Eukaryota; Metazoa; Mollusca; Bivalvia; Mytilida; Mytilidae. The record is from RNAcentral.